This 497-nucleotide ribosomal RNA is filed under the name uncultured bacterium. RNAcentral's name for it is "partial 16S ribosomal RNA". It matches the Rfam family "Bacterial small subunit ribosomal RNA", at positions 28 to 507 of the family's 1533-position model. The record is from RNAcentral.
GAUGAACGCUGGCGGCGUGCCUAAUACAUGCAAGUCGAGCGAACGGACGAGAAGCUUGCUUCUCUGAUGUUAGCGGCGGACGGGUGAGUAACACGUGGAUAACCUACCUAUAAGACUGGGAUAACUUCGGGAAACCGGAGCUAAUACCGGAUAAUAUUUUGAACCGCAUGGUUCAAAAGUGAAAGACGGUCUUGCUGUCACUUAUAGAUGGAUCCGCGCUGCAUUAGGUAGUUGGUAAGGUAACGGGUUACCAAGGCAACGAGGCAUAGCCGACCUGAGAGGGUGAUCGGCGACACUGGAACGGAGACAGGCUCCAGACUCCUACGGGAGGCAGCAGUAGGGAAUCUUCCGCAGUGGGCGGAAGCCUGACGGAACAACGCCGCGUGAGUGAUGACGGUCUUCGGAUCGUAAAGCUCUGUUAUUAGGGAAGAACAUAUGUGUAAGUAACUGUGCACAUAUUGACGGUACCUAAUCAGAAAGCCACGGCUAACUACGUG